CACACCCCUGGAAACCCGAUAUGCUGUGAAAAGUUGGAUGUGCUUGGAAAAGUUGCCGAUACAAUUUGCUGAAUUUCGGUAAGGAAAAAGCCCGUGGGUGAAAGGGGCGGCACAUGGCUCUGAUUUACUACCGGCGUUUGGAUACCCGGCCGCCAUGAUGGCAGAGGCGGGUAUUUCCGGUGACGAUCUGGAGAAAGAAGAUUUUGUCAUGUCAGAAAAUAUGCUGAUAUGGAUAUCGAAUUUUAUUAAAACUGGAGACCCGAACAGGCCAAUCCCCCUGAUGUCUGCAGACGACCGACCGAUCAUUUGGACGGAGUACCGAGAUGAAAGACCAUACCUCCAGCUCGCGAACAAUAUGACGUCAUUGACGUCACACGGGUCACGUUUUGGCGAACCAGCGACUGCCUUUUUGACAACGUUAGUUCCGGUUCUUCUCGGGAGCGCUCUGACUAUUCCCGGAAAUACCACAACGAAAGCAGUUGACAAACAAGUGUUUACCGCACUUCGCAUCACUCAAGACAAAGUUGAAAGUGUCAUACUUUCUCUCAUUUUAGUCAUGUGUGGCCUAUUUUUGAUUAUCGUAUUUUUGCUAGCUUGUGUUUUUAGAUACAUUAUAUAAUUCAUUUAAGGCGGAGUAAACGGAAUACUUACAUUUAUAUUUGCUAAGAUCUUAUUGCUGGUGCUAUUUUUUUAAUUGAA
This is a long non-coding RNA of Dreissena polymorpha, 699 nucleotides long. RefSeq lists it as uncharacterized. NCBI's taxonomy places the organism in Eukaryota, Metazoa, Mollusca, Bivalvia, Myida, Dreissenidae. The record is from RefSeq and is a predicted model, not a curated record. The transcript has 3 exons.